AUGGCUUCCCAGCCUUUUGGCUAAGGUCAAGUGUAGUAUCUGUUCUUAUAAAUUUAAUAUCUGAUACGUCUUCUAUCCGAGGACAAUAUAUUAAAUGUAUUUUUGGAGCAGGGAGAUGGAAUAGGAGCUUGCUCCAUCCACUCCACUCAUCAACUCGGUAUUGCAGUGCCUCCGGCAAUGCUGCAGAUAAA
This is a small nuclear RNA of Molossus molossus (Pallas's mastiff bat), 191 nucleotides long. RefSeq annotates it as U2 spliceosomal RNA. Lineage: Eukaryota; Metazoa; Chordata; Mammalia; Chiroptera; Molossidae. The record is from RefSeq and is a predicted model, not a curated record. The transcript has a single exon.